ACAUUGGUGGUUUAGUGGUAGAAUACUCGCCAGUCACGCGGGCAGCCCGGGUUCGAUUCCCGGCCGAUGCA
Molecule: transfer RNA, 71 nt
Filed under: Heliconius melpomene (postman butterfly)
Lineage: Eukaryota; Metazoa; Arthropoda; Insecta; Lepidoptera; Nymphalidae
Description: tRNA HMEL010932
Rfam family: tRNA
About the family: Transfer RNA (tRNA) molecules are approximately 80 nucleotides in length. Their secondary structure includes four short double-helical elements and three loops (D, anti-codon, and T loops). Further hydrogen bonds mediate the characteristic L-shaped molecular structure. tRNAs have two regions of fundamental functional importance: the anti-codon, which is responsible for specific mRNA codon recognition, and the 3' end, to which the tRNAs corresponding amino acid is attached (by aminoacyl-tRNA synthetases). tRNAs cope with the degeneracy of the genetic code in two manners: having more than one tRNA (with a specific anti-codon) for a particular amino acid; and 'wobble' base-pairing, i.e. permitting non-standard base-pairing at the 3rd anti-codon position.
Source: RNAcentral